RNAcentral lists this transfer RNA (77 nucleotides) under Candidatus Omnitrophota bacterium. RNAcentral's name for it is "Candidatus Omnitrophica bacterium tRNA-Val". It matches the Rfam family "tRNA". From Rfam's summary of the family: Transfer RNA (tRNA) molecules are approximately 80 nucleotides in length. Their secondary structure includes four short double-helical elements and three loops (D, anti-codon, and T loops). Lineage: Bacteria; Pseudomonadati; Candidatus Omnitrophota. The record is from RNAcentral.
GGGCUCAUAGCUCAGUUGGUUAGAGCGUUUCCUUGACAUGGAAAAGGUCGGUGGUUCGAGUCCACUUGAGCCCACCA